AUUGAACGCUGGCGGCAUGCCUUACACAUGCAAGUCGAACGGCAGCACGGGAGCAAUCCUGGUGGCGAGUGGCGAACGGGUGAGUAAUACAUCGGAACGUGCCCAAUCGUGGGGGAUAACGCAGCGAAAGCUGUGCUAAUACCGCAUACGAUCUACGGAUGAAAGCAGGGGAUCGCAAGACCUUGCGCGAAUGGAGCGGCCGAUGGCAGAUUAGGUAGUUGGUGAGGUAAAGGCUCACCAAGCCGUCGAUCUGUAGCUGGUCUGAGAGGACGACCAGCCACACUGGGACUGAGACACGGCCCAGACUCCUACGGGAGGCAGCAGUGGGGAAUUUUGGACAAUGGGCGAAAGCCUGAUCCAGCCAUGCCGCGUGCAGGAUGAAGGCCUUCGGGUUGUAAACUGCUUUUGUACGGAACGAAACGGCCUUUUCUAAUAAAGAGGGCUAAUGACGGUACCGUAAGAAUAAGCACCGGCUAACUACGUGCCAGCAGCCGCGGUAAUACGUAGGGCGCAAGCGUUAAUCGGAAUUACUGGGCGUAAAGCGUGCGCAGGCGGUUAUGUAAGACAGUUGUGAAAUCCCCGGGCUCAACCUGGGAACUGCAUCUGUGACUGCAUAGCUAGAGUACGGUAGAGGGGGAUGGAAUUCCGCGUGUAGCAGUGAAAUGCGUAGAUAUGCGGAGGAACACCGAUGGCGAAAGCAAUCCCCUGGACCUGUACUGACGCUCAUGCACGAAAGCGUGGGGAGCAAACAGG
Molecule: ribosomal RNA, 753 nt
Filed under: uncultured Comamonadaceae bacterium
Lineage: Bacteria; Pseudomonadati; Pseudomonadota; Betaproteobacteria; Burkholderiales; Comamonadaceae
Description: bacterial SSU rRNA
Rfam family: Bacterial small subunit ribosomal RNA
Source: RNAcentral